GAUGAACGCUAGCGGGAGGCCUAACACAUGCAAGCCGAGCGGUAGAGAUCUUUCGGGAUCUUGAGAGCGGCGUACGGGUGCGGAACACGUGUGCAACCUGCCUUUAUCAGGGGGAUAGCCUUUCGAAAGGAAGAUUAAUACCCCAUAAUAUAUUGAAUGGCAUCAUUUGAUAUUGAAAACUCCGGUGGAUAGAGAUGGGCACGCGCAAGAUUAGAUAGUUGGUAGGGUAACGGCCUACCAAGUCAGUGAUCUUUAGGGGGCCUGAGAGGGUGAUCCCCCACACUGGUACUGAGACACGGACCAGACUCCUACGGGAGGCAGCAGUGAGGAAUAUUGGACAAUGGGUGAGAGCCUGAUCCAGCCAUCCCGCGUGAAGGACGACGGCCCUAUGGGUUGUAAACUUCUUUUGUAUAGGGAUAAACCUUUCCACGUGUGGAAAGCUGAAGGUACUAUACGAAUAAGCACCGGCUAACUCCGUGCCAGCAGCCGCGGUAAUACGGAGGGUGCAAGCGUUAUCCGGAUUUAUUGGGUUUAAAGGGUCCGUAGGCGGAUCUGUAAGUCAGUGGUGAAAUCUCAUAGCUUAACUAUGAAACUGCCAUUGAUACUGCAGGUCUUGAGUAAAGUAGAAGUGGCUGGAAUAAGUAGUGUAGCGGUGAAAUGCAUAGAUAUUACUUAGACCACCAAUUGCGAAGGCAGGUCACUAUGUUUUAACUGACGCUGAUGGACGAAAGCGUGGGGAGCGAACAGGAUUAGAUACCCUGGUAGUCCACGCCGUAAACGAUGCUAACUCGUUUUUGGGUUUUCGGAUUCAGAGACUAAGCGAAAGUGAUAAGUUAGCCACCUGGGGAGUACGUUCGCAAGAAUGAAACUCAAAGGAAUUGACGGGGGCCCGCACAAGCGGUGGAUUAUGUGGUUUAAUUCGAUGAUACGCGAGGAACCUUACCAAGGCUUAAAUGGGAAUUGACAGGUUUAGAAAUAGACUUUUCUUCGGACAAUUUUCAAGGUGCUGCAUGGUUGUCGUCAGCUCGUGCCGUGAGGUGUUAGGUUAAGUCCUGCAACGAGCGCAACCCCUGUCACUAGUUGCCAUCAUUCAGUUGGGGACUCUAGUGAGACUGCCUACGCAAGUAGAGAGGAAGGUGGGGAUGACGUCAAAUCAUCACGGCCCUUACGCCUUGGGCCACACACGUAAUACAAUGGCCGGUACAGAGGGCAGCUACCUAGCGAUAGGAUGCGAAUCUCGAAAGCCGGUCUCAGUUCGGAUUGGAGUCUGCAACUCGACUCUAUGAAGCUGGAAUCGCUAGUAAUCGCAUAUCAGCCAUGAUGCGGUGAAUACGUUCCCGGGCCU
RNAcentral lists this ribosomal RNA (1345 nucleotides) under uncultured bacterium. RNAcentral's name for it is "bacterial SSU rRNA". It matches the Rfam family "Bacterial small subunit ribosomal RNA", at positions 28 to 1381 of the family's 1533-position model. The record is from RNAcentral.